Molecule: long non-coding RNA, 2534 nt
Filed under: Erythranthe guttata (spotted monkey flower)
Lineage: Eukaryota; Viridiplantae; Streptophyta; Magnoliopsida; Lamiales; Phrymaceae
Description: long non-coding RNA (EGUT_LNC002348)
Source: RNAcentral
AGAGAAUAUCAAACCCUAAGAACUCAUAGAAGUAGAGCUAGAACAAGUUCUGCACCUUUUCUAGCUGAAAAUCCUAUGUUUUGAAGUUUGAAUUCAUCUCUAAUCAAGGCUUCUAGCACACCCUAUCUAAGACUGAUCCUUUCACUUCAUACAUCAUAUUGAUCUUGAGGUAAGUUGAAGCUUUCAUUUGCUCAUCAUAAGAACCUAAUUAUGUGUGUUUUAAUGUGACUUUUGCUAUGUGUUCUCCAUGAUGUUUGAAUGAUUGAUGAGUCAUAGUGAUAUGAAAGAAUAUGUUUUGAAAAUGGGAGUAUGGUACUUGAUUGAUGGUCGAGUAGACAAGGGACGCGGGAGGAACCGGCGGACCCAACACAUGGUGGCAAAUACCUGAGGUCGUAAGACCAGUAUGGAAAACCCACAAUUAAAGAAAUGAAAUACGGCUAAUACCUGAGGUCGAAAGGCCGGUAUGGAAACCCCCGUAUUAUCUAUUGGCCAAAUAUGAUGAACAGGUUCCGAAAAUCAAAGUCUAUUGCUAUCAGUCAAGUACCACACUUCAAGGGUACCCGAUAAAGAGAAGGAUUUCAAAAGAAAGGAUCAUAAAUGAAGUUAUACGUGAUAUUGUACAUAUUGAAUGAAUAACGUGUUAUGUGAUAGAUUGUUAUUAUUACAUCAGUUUCAACUUGCUGAGCUAUUAGCUCAUUAGGUUCUUAUGAUGCAGGUAAUGAUGUACAUGUUUAGAAGUUGACCUAGCCAAGAGCGGCCAGUCAGAUAUUUGUUCAUAUGCCAUGCUUCGCGCCAUUUUUGUAGCCGAGCUAGAAACUCUGAUUUCAUUUUGUUAGCCGCUCUAUUAUGGUUUUUGUACAAUAUAAUUUUGUAAACAAUAAAUAUGUAUAUUUAUGUACAGAUUUCGAGAAAGUACAAACUUUGAUUUCUUUUCAAAGCAUAUAACGUAUUUUUGUAUUAAAACCAUAAUGUUCAAGUAAAUAUAUAAAAGGGUAGCAUCCCUAACUUAACGGUGGUGAUCCUAUUGGAUUCUGCUGUUAGGUUGUGGGCCGAUUUUUGUAGCCGAGCUAGAAACUCUGAUUUCAUUUUGUUAGCCGCUCUAUUAUGGUUUUUGUACAAUGUAAUUUUGUAAACAAUGAAUAUAUAUAUAUGUACGGGUUUUGAGAAAGUUCAAAGUUUGAUUUCUUUUCAAAGCAUAUAACGUAUUUUUGUAUUAAAACCAUAAUGUUUAAGGAUAUAUAUAAAAGGUUAGCAUCCCUAACUUAAUGGUGGUGAUCCGAUUGGAUUCUGCUGUUAGGUUGUGGGGCGUUACAUUUUGUGGUAUCAGAGCGGAGGUUUAAAAUCUUUUCUGAAGACAGAAGAAGGCAUAUGAACAGACUUUGGCUGCGAAGCUUGGUUAACUCUUUUCUCAUUUACCUAUGUGUUUGAUUUAUAUGUUGCAUAGCAAAUUUCCAGAAUUGUUCGGUACGUCAAAUUUCGAGGACGAAAUUUUAUAAGGAGGGAAGGAUUGUAAUGCCCAAUCAUCCAUACAUGGACAAUAAUAAGCAUAUUGCAUCAAUGCAUAUAGUUAUAAUUCAUUAUUCAUGAUGCAUAUCACGACUACUUGCUACACACGUGUCUUAAUUGCAUUUUGAUACGUGAUCGAAUACUUUUCUUAAACUGUGAUAAUACAUGAUACAUGUUAUUGAACUUAUACUUUAUGAUUUAACAUUAACUUAAGUGAUUUAUUGUAGUGAGAAGUUAAGUUUCUCGGUUAAGAAGGGAUCAAUGUGCUAAACGGUGAUAUAAUUGUCUUAAUUGCAUUUCUGCAUUUUAAUUACAUUAUAAUAUGAUUAAUUUCAUAUAUAAUUACAUGAAGUAACUCAUAUAAAGCUAAAAUCAAAAGUAAGCAAAAGGGUGCAAUUUGAUUGGUUGGUUGACUAGGUUGCACAAGACCAUUCUCAAAGUGUUUACACUUGAUUAUAAUGAGUAAGCAUCAGCCCAUAUCUUAUCUCAAGCUAGAAAAACGUGGAGGAACCACAAGAAUCCAGCAAAUAUAAGCCCUCCAAUCAGCAUCCUCCAUUUGGCCUUGUUGGGAAUGGGUAGAUAAGUGAAGACUUUGUGUUUUGGUCUUCAUUUUCACUUGUCUUCUUCCAAAAACGACCAGACCUAUUCACUUAAGCUUUUCUUCUUAUUUCUUCACUUCCAUGUUCACAUAAGAGAAUAUCAAACCCUAAGAACUCAUAGAAGUAGAGCUAGAACAAGUUCUGCACCUUUUCUAGCUGAAAAUCCUAUGUUUUGAAGUUUGAAUUCAUCUCUAAUCAAGGCUUCUAGCACACCCUAUCUAAGACUGAUCCUUUCACUUCAUACAUCAUAUUGAUCUUGAGGUAAGUUGAAGCUUUCAUUUGCUCAUCAUAAGAACCUAAUUAUGUGUGUUUUAAUGUGACUUUUGCUAUGUGUUCUCCAUGAUGUUUGAAUGAUUGAUGAGUCAUAGUGAUAUGAAAGAAUAUGUUUUGAAAAUGGGAGUAUGGUACUUGAUUGAUGGUCGAGUAGAC